RNAcentral lists this transfer-messenger RNA (289 nucleotides) under Flavobacteriales bacterium. RNAcentral describes it as "partial transfer-messenger RNA". It matches the Rfam family "transfer-messenger RNA", at positions 78 to 374 of the family's 374-position model. Rfam says of the family: Bacterial tmRNA, also known as 10Sa RNA or SsrA, is named for its dual tRNA and mRNA-like properties. Lineage: Bacteria; Pseudomonadati; Bacteroidota; Flavobacteriia; Flavobacteriales. The record is from RNAcentral.
CGUUCACACUAUAUCUGGCGAAAAUACUUACGCCUUAGCUGCCUAGUUUAGAACUUCGUAAGCUUUUGUCUCGCUAACUGCUGCAUUGUUAGGUUAGUAAUAGAGGCAUCAUAAUAACAACGCUAGUUUUUGUAGAGGUACGAUACAAUUGCGAAACAAAGUACAUAAGGAGAAAGUUAAGGUCGGUUUCCAGCCCGACUGAUCCCGACAAUUAAUUGGAAAAUAAGCAUGAAGAAGGCAUAAUUUAUCACACAACUGGACAAGGGUUCGAACCCCUUCGGCUCCACCA